RNAcentral lists this ribosomal RNA (474 nucleotides) under Cyperus fuscus. Its description in RNAcentral is "eukaryotic LSU rRNA". The stretch from base 333 to 474 matches the Rfam family "Eukaryotic large subunit ribosomal RNA", at positions 1 to 141 of the family's 3401-position model. Lineage: Eukaryota; Viridiplantae; Streptophyta; Magnoliopsida; Poales; Cyperaceae. The record is from RNAcentral.
UGCAGAAUCCCGUGAACCAUCGAGUCUUUGAACGCAAGUUGCGCCCGAGGGAUCCUCCCGAGGGCACGCCUGCCUGGGCGUUAGAAGCCCAUCAACGCUUAGUCAACUCCCCACGUAUAGUGUGAGGAAAUUUGGCUAGAUGCGGACAUUGGCUCUCCUAGCCGUCAAGGCGAGGUGGGCUUAAGAGCACGGCCGUCAACGGUUUCGGGAACGGUGAGUUGUGGGCUUACAGCGAAUGCCAAUCCCAACCCAUGUGUUGACAUGUGGCCAUUUUGACCCCAAGACAAGGAGAUUGUUGUUGUAGCGUCUCGCUUUGCGACAUCUUCGGACCGAUACCCCAGGUCAGGCGGGGCCACCCGCUGAGUUUAAGCAUAUAAAUAAGCGGAGGAGAAGAAACUUACGAGGAUUCCCCUAGUAACGGCGAGCGAACCGGGAGCAGCCCAGCCUUAGAAUCGUGGCGGCCCUGUCGCCCGA